GACGAACGCUGGCGGCGUGCUUAACACAUGCAAGUCGAGCGGUAAGGCCCUUUCGGGGGUACGACGAGCGGCGAACGGGUGAGUAACACGUGGGUGACCUGCCCUCAGCUCUGGGAUAAGCCUGGGAAACCGGGUCUAAUACUGGAUAUGACUCCAUGACGCAUGUUGUGGGGUGGAAAGCCUUGUGCGGCUGAGGAUGGGCCCGCGGCCUAUCAGCUUGUUGGGUGGGGUGANGGCCUACCAAGGCGACGACGGGUAGCCGGCCUGAGAGGGCGACCGGCCACACUGGGACUGAGACACGGCCCA
This 306-nucleotide ribosomal RNA is filed under the name uncultured bacterium. RNAcentral's name for it is "bacterial SSU rRNA". It matches the Rfam family "Bacterial small subunit ribosomal RNA", at positions 28 to 333 of the family's 1533-position model. The record is from RNAcentral.